This 57-nucleotide transfer RNA is filed under the name Bunostomum trigonocephalum (sheep hookworm). RNAcentral describes it as "tRNA-Tyr". The record is from RNAcentral. Lineage: Eukaryota; Metazoa; Nematoda; Chromadorea; Rhabditida; Ancylostomatidae.
AAGAGUUUAGUUUAAAUGAAAAAUAUUAAAUUGUAAGUUUAAAGUUGGGCGCUCUUA